Long non-coding RNA from Eucalyptus grandis, 1742 nucleotides. RefSeq lists it as uncharacterized. The record is from RefSeq and is a predicted model, not a curated record. The transcript is spliced from 2 exons. Lineage: Eukaryota; Viridiplantae; Streptophyta; Magnoliopsida; Myrtales; Myrtaceae.
UCUUCCACAUCUGGGAACGAAAAGAGAGAGAGUCACGGGAGUGUGGUUGCAUAGCUAGACUUAUAUAUUAAUGAUUCAUCUCCCGUCAUGACUAUUUAAGCUCUCAAAAGGCGCUAACUAUCCCUCCCUCUCCCAGCAAUUUACUUACUUCGCAGCUCUCGGAAAUCCCUAGAAGAUCUUCUUCUUCUUCCUCCCCCCAUUGCAGAAACCGCCAUGGAUGAGGCUCUGACUAAAUGGAACGUCACCUUCACGAAGCACCUCAGGCAGAAGCGCAAGCUCUAUCACAACGGCUUCCUCUCUCUCCACUCCUCCACCGCCAAGGCACAUUCCCUUUCUCUCACUACUGAUCUUUGCCAUUGAUGUCUUCUGCCUUUUGAUGUUGCUACCUUUCGCAUGUGCACUUAGAUUUAGGCAAAAUGAAAAUAAAUUUAUCUUGUUCAGGUGCGUCAUUGAAUUUACAAUAAGCUUUGUAAAGCCCGCAAAAUGGAUAGAUUGUUUCGUGGACCUGCUCUAGAAAGAGAAUGCCAUGCAAUUAAGCCGGGGAAUGGUUUUACUGUUUUUGAUGCACACACUUCAUUUUUCAUUUCCUUCAAAGUUUACUCUCAUGUUUAUUGUAGGAACCUAUGUUGCGGUACUUACUCCAGCUCGCAAAUGAUCUCUUGUAAUGCAAUUGAUGCAGCCUAUCAAAUAUUAUCUGUCCUCUGAAAACCAUUAGAUCAAGUUGCCGUUGCUGAAAAUUCAUAUGAAAGGAAGACAACUUUUGCUUCACUAACAAAGGAGCUUCAGGAUGCAGAUAAGUUUUGUGAUGGUGCUCAAAGACAGAACACCCGCUGCUGAACUAGCUUCAGUGGAGGAUGUGGACACUGGAAAUCUAACUGAUACUACUGACAAUGAAAAGUGACCUGGCCUCAUGAAGUCUAAAGGGGUCUUUGUAAUUGGCAACUCACGGGCAUUUCACAGUUACUUGUCCUACUCUGUUUACAGUAAUUGAUUCUUUCAUCUCUAUUUUAACCCAUCUGUGGCAAGGUUGUGACUCUAAGCAUCUUGAAAUUCCAUUAGAGCUUAAUGAGUUUUGAUGUUUGUUGAAACUCUUUGGUCCAAACUACCAGACAAGCUAUAGCAGCGGAUAGCAAAUGCUUGUAGGGAAUUAUCAGACUAGAUGCAUAAGGACCUGCUGAAUUCUCUAAUACAUCCCAGUCCAAAGUCUAGUUCUUUAUUUACCUUGAGGACAUUUUCAAUUUCACUGAGCUUCGCAUGACUAGUUUGUACGUCUGCUGCAAUUAACGUUUGCAGCCUUCUCAUGUACAAGCUGACCCCGAAUGCUGCAGCAGCAAUCUUGUUUCUGAAGCAUCUCUUUCACGUGGUUCUCACGGUGAUGCUAAUGACGAAAGGAUAACCCCUGAAGGACGUAGGGAUUUACUGAAAGUGAAGGCUGGGUGUCCUAGUUUUGAUCUUGGAUUUUGAACCAUGUCCAUUGGUUAAUCAACUAUAUUGCUACUGUCAAGAGUCGGGAUGGAGUGCACAAGAGUCUCAUGUCUAUCACACACGAAAUCUGUCGGUGUGAGCUAUUAUUUUGAUGUUAAGUGUUCUAGUGCCAAGUUCACUUGCAGCUCUAUGAUCUGAAACGUUUUUAGUUAGACGACAAACUCAAUGUAUUUCCAGUGAUCUUCAACAUAUCGAGGUACCCUUAUGAUGCAAAGAAACUGAGAUAUGGGUCUAUCCAGUUUCCUUUAUCCCCUGUU